GUGCUUACUUUGGCAGCACAUAUACUAAUAUUAGAAUGAUGCAUAGAAGAUUAGCGUGAUUACUGAACAAGGAUGACAUGAAAAACUGGGAAGCAUUCCAUAUUAAA
This is a small nuclear RNA of Mustela putorius furo (domestic ferret), 107 nucleotides long. The record is from Ensembl. Lineage: Eukaryota; Metazoa; Chordata; Mammalia; Carnivora; Mustelidae.